GGCUUUUUCUUGAGGUACCGUCUAAGUGGUUACCCACUUUCUCUUUCCUCGCAAAAGGGGUUUACAAUCCGAAAACCUUCAUCCCCCACGCGGCGUCGCUGCGUCAGGCUUUCGCCCAUUGCGCAAUAUUCCU
This 133-nucleotide ribosomal RNA is filed under the name uncultured bacterium. Its description in RNAcentral is "partial 16S ribosomal RNA". The record is from RNAcentral.